UGUUGGCGUACUUGUUCGACUCGCUGGU
This 28-nucleotide small RNA is filed under the name Bombyx mori (domestic silkworm). RNAcentral describes it as "ovarian small RNA-36172". The record is from RNAcentral. Lineage: Eukaryota; Metazoa; Arthropoda; Insecta; Lepidoptera; Bombycidae.